UACGUAGGGGGCAAGCGUUGUCCGGAAUCAUUGGGCGUAAAGCGCGUGUAGGCGGUCCGAUAAGUCGGCUGUGAAAGUCCAGGGCUCAACCCUGGGAUGCCGGUCGAUACUGUCGGACUAGAGUUCGGAAGAGGCGAGUGGAAUUCCCGGUGUAGCGGUGAAAUGCGCAGAUAUCGGGAGGAACACCGGUGGCGAAGGCGGCAUCCUGGACCGGCAUUGACGCUGAGGAGCGAAAGCCAGGGGAGCAAACGGG
RNAcentral lists this ribosomal RNA (253 nucleotides) under uncultured bacterium. RNAcentral describes it as "partial 16S ribosomal RNA". It matches the Rfam family "Bacterial small subunit ribosomal RNA", at positions 524 to 776 of the family's 1533-position model. The record is from RNAcentral.